RNAcentral lists this ribosomal RNA (367 nucleotides) under uncultured bacterium. RNAcentral describes it as "bacterial SSU rRNA". It matches the Rfam family "Bacterial small subunit ribosomal RNA", at positions 28 to 396 of the family's 1533-position model. The record is from RNAcentral.
GACGAACGCUGGCGGCGUGCUUAACACAUGCAAGUCGAACGGUGACGGAGAGCUUGCUCUCCUGAUCAGUGGCGAACGGGUGAGUAACACGUGGGCAACCUGCCCAGACUUCGGGAUAACGCUUCGAAAGAGGUGCUAAUACCGGAUACGAGCUCCUUGGGCAUCCUUGGAGUUGGAAAAGUUUUUCGGUCUGGGAUGGGCCCGCGGCCUAUCAGCUAGUUGGUGAGGUAACGGCUCACCAAGGCGACGACGGGUAGCCGGCCUGAGAGGGCGACCGGCCACACUGGGACUGAGACACGGCCCAGACUCCUACGGGAGGCAGCAGUGGGGAAUAUUGCGCAAUGGGCGAAAGCCUGACGCAGCAACG